Molecule: ribosomal RNA, 620 nt
Filed under: uncultured Bacteroidota bacterium
Lineage: Bacteria; Pseudomonadati; Bacteroidota
Description: bacterial SSU rRNA
Rfam family: Bacterial small subunit ribosomal RNA
Source: RNAcentral
UAAGGAAUAUUGGUCAAUGGGCGGAAGCCUGAACCAGCCAUGCCGCGUGCAGGAUGACUGCCCUAUGGGUUGUAAACUGCUUUUGUCCAGGAAUAAACCUAGAUACGUGUAUCUAGCUGAAUGUACUGGAAGAAUAAGGAUCGGCUAACUCCGUGCCAGCAGCCGCGGUAAUACGGAGGAUCCGAGCGUUAUCCGGAUUUAUUGGGUUUAAAGGGUGCGUAGGCGGCCUAUUAAGUCAGGGGUGAAAUACGGUGGCUCAACCAUCGCAGUGCCUUUGAUACUGAUGGGCUUGAAUCCAUUUGAAGUGGGCGGAAUAAGACAAGUAGCGGUGAAAUGCAUAGAUAUGUCUUAGAACUCCGAUUGCGAAGGCAGCUCACUAAGCUGGUAUUGACGCUGAUGCACGAAAGCGUGGGGAUCGAACAGGAUUAGAUACCCUGGUAGUCCACGCCCUAAACGAUGAUAACUCGAUGUUGGCGAUAGACAGCCAGCGUCCAAGCGAAAGCGUUAAGUUAUCCACCUGGGGAGUACGCCCGCAAGGGUGAAACUCAAAGGAAUUGACGGGGGCCCGCACAAGCGGAGGAGCAUGUGGUUUAAUUCGAUGAUACGCGAGGAACCUUACC